This 560-nucleotide ribosomal RNA is filed under the name Salmonella enterica subsp. enterica. RNAcentral's name for it is "bacterial SSU rRNA". It matches the Rfam family "Bacterial small subunit ribosomal RNA", at positions 985 to 1533 of the family's 1533-position model. Lineage: Bacteria; Pseudomonadati; Pseudomonadota; Gammaproteobacteria; Enterobacterales; Enterobacteriaceae. The record is from RNAcentral.
CAUCCACGGAAGAAUUCAGAGAUGGAUUUGUGCCUUCGGGAACCGUGAGACAGGUGCUGCAUGGCUGUCGUCAGCUCGUGUUGUGAAAUGUUGGGUUAAGUCCCGCAACGAGCGCAACCCUUAUCCUUUGUUGCCAGCGGUCCGGCCGGGAACUCAAAGGAGACUGCCAGUGAUAAACUGGAGGAAGGUGGGGAUGACGUCAAGUCAUCAUGGCCCUUACGACCAGGGCUACACACGUGCUACAAUGGCGCAUACAAAGAGAAGCGACCUCGCGAGAGCAAGCGGACCUCAUAAAGUGCGUCGUAGUCCGGAUUGGAGUCUGCAACUCGACUCCAUGAAGUCGGAAUCGCUAGUAAUCGUGGAUCAGAAUGCCACGGUGAAUACGUUCCCGGGCCUUGUACACACCGCCCGUCACACCAUGGGAGUGGGUUGCAAAAGAAGUAGGUAGCUUAACCUUCGGGAGGGCGCUUACCACUUUGUGAUUCAUGACUGGGGUGAAGUCGUAACAAGGUAACCGUAGGGGAACCUGCGGUUGGAUCACCUCCUUACCUUAAAGAAGC